RNAcentral lists this transfer RNA (66 nucleotides) under Eptatretus burgeri (inshore hagfish). RNAcentral's name for it is "transfer RNA-Ile". Lineage: Eukaryota; Metazoa; Chordata; Myxini; Myxiniformes; Myxinidae. RNAcentral also lists the same sequence under 1 other name. The record is from RNAcentral.
GGAAAUAUGCCUGAUAAAAGGAUUACUUUGAUAGAGUAAAACAUAGUGAUUUUUCACUUAUUUCCU